Molecule: small nucleolar RNA, 91 nt
Organism: Cynara cardunculus var. scolymus (artichoke)
Lineage: Eukaryota; Viridiplantae; Streptophyta; Magnoliopsida; Asterales; Asteraceae
Product: small nucleolar RNA snoR26
Exons: 1
Source: RefSeq, a predicted model, not a curated record
UUAGCAUCGAUGAUGAUACUUUUAACUUCGUUAUCCUUGCACUUUGAUUCAUAAUGAAGAGAACCAUGGGGAAAGUAAUUCUGAGAUGCUC